Molecule: unclassified non-coding RNA, 1381 nt
Filed under: uncultured Chaetothyriales
Lineage: Eukaryota; Fungi; Ascomycota; Eurotiomycetes; Chaetothyriales
Description: sequence contains 18S rRNA gene, ITS1, 5.8S rRNA gene, ITS2, 28S rRNA gene
Rfam family: Eukaryotic large subunit ribosomal RNA (bases 446-1381)
Source: RNAcentral
GGAAGGAUCAUUAAAGGUUUAGGGUACGUUGUGCCCAAACUUAAACCCUAUGUCUUCAUUAAGCUGUUUCUUUGCCGGCUACGGGCGGCAGAAGAUUUCUUAAACUCAUGUUAAUAUGGCUUCUGAAAUUUGAAAUGAAUGUCAAAACUUUCAACAACGGAUCUCUUGGUUCUGGCAUCGAUGAAGAACGCAGCGAAAUGCGAUAAGUAAUGUGAAUUGCAGAAUUCAGUGAAUCAUCGAAUCUUUGAACGCAUAUUGCGCCCUUUGGUAUUCCGAAGGGCAUGCCUGUUCGAGCGUCAUUACACCCCUCAAGCCUAGGCUUGAUGUUGGGCAUUGCUGUCGAGCAUGUCUAAAAGACAGUGACGGUUCCCUUUAACCGCUGGUGCAUAGGUGUCGCCAUGCAGGGAGAUGGUAGCCAGUCUGUUAAAAUAAAUUUUCUGAAGAUUGACCUCGGAUCAGGUAGGGAUACCCGCUGAACUUAAGCAUAUCAAUAAGCGGAGGAAAAGAAACCAACAGGGAUUGCCUCAGUAACGGCGAGUGAAGCGGCAAGAGCUCAAAUUUGAAAUCUGACCUUCCGGUCCGAGUUGUAAUUUGUAGAGGAUGUUUCGGGUAAGAUCUAGGUCUAAGUUCCUUGGAACAGGACGUCAUAGAGGGUGAGAAUCCCGUAUGGGGCCUGUGAUCGCACCCAUGUGAAACUCCUUCGACGAGUCGAGUUGUUUGGGAAUGCAGCUCAAAAUGGGUGGUAAAUUUCAUCUAAAGCUAAAUACCGGCCAGAGACCGAUAGCGCACAAGUAGAGUGAUCGAAAGAUGAAAAGCACUUUGAAAAGAGAGUUAAACAGCAUGUGAAAUUGUUGAAAGGGAAGCGCUUGGGACCAGACUUGCUUGUAGGGUUCAGCCGUCGUUUUCGUCGGUGUACUUCCCUACGUGCAGGCCAGCAUCAGUUUGGGCGGAAGGUUAAAGGCCAGGGAAAUGUACCAUCCUCCGGGAUGACUUAUAGCCCCUGGUGUAAUGCUUCCUGCCUGGACUGAGGAACGCGCGUAAGCUCGGAUGCUGGCGUAAUGGUUCCAAGCGACCCGUCUUGAAACACGGACCAAGGAGUCUAACAUCUAUGCGAGUAUUUGGGUGUCAAACCCACAUGCGCAAUGAAAGUGAACGGAGGUGGGAAUCUUCGGAUGCACCAUCGACCGAUCCUGAUGUCUUCGGAUGGAUUUGAGUAAGAGCAUAGCUGUUGGGACCCGAAAGAUGGUGAACUAUGCCUGAAUAGGGUGAAGCCAGAGGAAACUCUGGUGGAGGCUCGCAGCGGUUCUGACGUGCAAAUCGAUCGUCAAAUUUGGGUAUAGGGGCGAAAGACUAAUCGAACUAUCUGGUAGCUGGUUCCUGC